This 71-nucleotide transfer RNA is filed under the name Loxodonta africana (African savanna elephant). It matches the Rfam family "tRNA". Rfam says of the family: Transfer RNA (tRNA) molecules are approximately 80 nucleotides in length. Their secondary structure includes four short double-helical elements and three loops (D, anti-codon, and T loops). Further hydrogen bonds mediate the characteristic L-shaped molecular structure. tRNAs have two regions of fundamental functional importance: the anti-codon, which is responsible for specific mRNA codon recognition, and the 3' end, to which the tRNAs corresponding amino acid is attached (by aminoacyl-tRNA synthetases). tRNAs cope with the degeneracy of the genetic code in two manners: having more than one tRNA (with a specific anti-codon) for a particular amino acid; and 'wobble' base-pairing, i.e. permitting non-standard base-pairing at the 3rd anti-codon position. The record is from Rfam by way of RNAcentral. Lineage: Eukaryota; Metazoa; Chordata; Mammalia; Proboscidea; Elephantidae.
GCAGUGGUGGCUCAGUGGUAGGAUGCUCACCUUCCAUGCGGGAGGCCCAGGUUCGAUUCCCAGCCAAUGCA